This 123-nucleotide small nuclear RNA is filed under the name Rhinolophus ferrumequinum (greater horseshoe bat). RNAcentral describes it as "U4 spliceosomal RNA (ENSRFEG00010000194.1)". It matches the Rfam family "U4 spliceosomal RNA". Rfam says of the family: U4 small nuclear RNA (U4 snRNA) is a component of the major U2-dependent spliceosome. The record is from RNAcentral. Lineage: Eukaryota; Metazoa; Chordata; Mammalia; Chiroptera; Rhinolophidae.
AGCUUCGCGCAGCGGCAGUAUCGUAGCCAAUGAGGUUUAUCCGAGGCGCGAUUAUUACUAAUUGAAAAAAUUUUUAAACUAGAUCCAUGUACUACAUUUUUAGUCAAGAAAACUUUGAUAAGC